RNAcentral lists this ribosomal RNA (252 nucleotides) under uncultured bacterium. RNAcentral describes it as "partial 16S ribosomal RNA". It matches the Rfam family "Bacterial small subunit ribosomal RNA", at positions 524 to 775 of the family's 1533-position model. The record is from RNAcentral.
UACAGAGGGUGCGAGCGUUGUUCGGAAUUAUUGGGCGUAAAGGGCGCGUAGGCGGUGCCACAAGUCACUUGUGAAAUCUCCGAGCUUAACUCGGAGCCUGCAGGCGAAACUGUGGUGCUGGAGUGUGGGAGAGGCGCGUGGAAUUGCAGGUGUAGCGGUGAAAUGCGUAGAUAUCUGCAGGAACACCCGUGGCGAAAGCGGCGCGCUGGACCACUACUGACGCUGAGGAACGAAAGCUAGGGGAGCAAACAG